AGCUGGUCUGAAGGCAGUUAUCUCAAUUGCUUGUUUAUGGUUAUAGAUCUGAACCCUUGUUCUACUCUUUCUCCCUCCUCACUGCUUCACUUGAGUAGUCUUAU
Callithrix jacchus (white-tufted-ear marmoset) is the source of this 104-nucleotide Y RNA. It matches the Rfam family "Y RNA". From Rfam's summary of the family: Y RNAs are components of the Ro ribonucleoprotein particle (Ro RNP), in association with Ro60 and La proteins. Lineage: Eukaryota; Metazoa; Chordata; Mammalia; Primates; Cebidae. The record is from Ensembl.